Molecule: RNA transcript, 2726 nt
Organism: Oryzias latipes (Japanese medaka)
Lineage: Eukaryota; Metazoa; Chordata; Actinopteri; Beloniformes; Adrianichthyidae
Gene: esd
Gene name: esterase D/formylglutathione hydrolase
Source: RefSeq, a predicted model, not a curated record
CAUUGCGUCGUGCGUCUCUAAUGACGUCAUCACGUCGACCCAGACGUCGUUGGACUUUGCAGACGGCUGCAACGGACCGGCGGGGAAGUUUACCACGAUUCUCCACGUCACUGUGAUUCCCUGAGAUCAAGGAUGGCUCUCACCCAGGUUUCCUCCAACAAGUGUGCCGGCGGCUUGCAGAAGGUUUUCGAGCACGAAAGUGUCGAGCUGAAGUGUAAGAUGAAGUUUGCCGUCUACCUGCCUCCCAAAGCUGAAACGGACAAAUGUCCCGUCCUGUACUGGCUCUCCGGCCUGACAUGCACAGAGCAGAACUUUAUCACCAAGGCCGGCAGUCAGCUGGCUGCUGCCGAGCACGGCCUCAUCAUCGUGGCUCCGGACACCAGCCCACGCGGCUGCGGCAUCGAGGGCGAAGAUGAGAGCUGGGAUUUCGGCACAGGAGCAGGCUUUUACGUUGACGCCACUCAAGACCCGUGGAAGACCAACUACCGCAUGUACUCCUACGUCACUGAAGAGCUGCCUAAACUGAUCAACGCCAACUUCCCCACCCAUCCUGACAGGAUAUCCAUCUCAGGUCACUCCAUGGGCGGACACGGAGCGCUCAUCUGCGCACUAAAGAACCCCGGAAAAUACAAGGCUGUGUCGGCGUUUGCCCCCAUCUGUAACCCCAUGCAGUGUCCGUGGGGGCAGAAGGCCUUCGCGGGAUACCUGGGUUCUGACAGAUCCACUUGGGAGGCUUUCGAUGCCACUGUGUUGGCGGCGUCGUACUCAGGCCCCCAGCUUGACAUCCUGAUCGAUCAGGGACGGGAUGAUCAGUUCCUGUCUGCCAGCCAGCUUCUACCCGACAACCUGAUCGCUGUCUGCUCCGAGAAGAAGAUUCCCGUCGUCUUCAGGCUGCAGCCGGGCUACGAUCACAGCUACUUCUUCAUCUACUCCUUCAUAAGCGACCACAUCAAGCAUCACGCCAAAUACCUGAACGCCUGAUCUGCUGGGGGUCCCGCCGCUCUGCCUUCUACAGCUCUGAGUCUUGUGAUCAAAGGGGGACAAACCUACUAAAUCUGCAAGGGGUCGAAUACUUAUUUGCUGUAUACGUAUGUAUUCUGUAUAUCUACUUUGCUUUAAGGCCCAAAGCGCUUUACUGUCACAGUCCCAUUCACACACACUGGUGUGAUGUGAUGUGAUGUGUGAGGAGCAAUCUCAGGUUCAGGGUCUCGCUCAAAGACCCUUAGACACAUGGGCAGGAACCAAACCUGUGAUUCUCCUAUCAGAGGUCGACCACUCUACCUCUGCACCAUAGCUGCCCCAAAAGAAACCUCAGUCGGGUCAGAAUCUGACAUGUGAUGUUUUUACUGAUAAGUGAUGAGGAGUACAGCACAGUAUUUACAGUAUUCACAGCAGUUAAGGCGGCGUUACACGGACACUUUAUGCAUGCUGUACAACAAUAACACAAAAAGACACAGAGUUACAAAAUAAUAUGAUACAUGACCAACAGUAGAAAAGUAGCAAAAAUGAUUCUCCCAGAAAAGUAAAAACGUGAUGGGUUCCGAUUUUUAUUAGAGGUCAAAACAAAGAAACUAGUUUAAAGUGCAGAAUCUGUCUGGAUGUUUGGAGAGCAUGAACCGGACUGUGGAGUUCAAUCAGGGAUCAGAGCCCUCACGGCUUCUGUUCUUUGUUAUGUGAACAGGGAGGAUUUUCACUGCCUUAAUACUAGGUUUUAUUUUCAGACAAAGCUAAUUCAGUCUCUUAAACCACAUAAGCAGUGAUUUAAACUGAGCAAAGGUUUAUCUUUCAUUGAUAACAUGAGGAAUUCUAACAUUAAAACACUGUUUCUUAGGCUGAAACAAAAACCAACAAAUGUCUUUCAGGGGAAAACUGACUUGAGCUUUCGUAAAAAUACUCAAUCAACAGGAGGAGGUUUCAAAUCUCCUAAAAACUAUGUUUAACACUAGCUCUGUUACCAUUGACUAUGAAAUUCCGAUAAUAAAUUUGCCUGUUGGAAACACAAUUUCAAAAAAACUCCAAUUUGUCAUAAAAAUCUUUAUGCACUUGAAAGGAGUUGGUUUUUGACGCGUAUCAAAACUGAUAUAUUUAACAAAACUGCAAUGGAAACACUGUAUUCUAAUGAAAUGAGUCACAUGACCAACAACCGGAUGGCAAUGCGCUUCUUGGUAGGAACUGGCUGCUUUGGGCACUGCACAGCGGGUGACACAAAGAGGUCCCACAGUAUCACACAGCUCAUCAAAAAUUGAGUGUGUCAUGCUGUUGGAUCCACAGAUCCUCAGUAAAAUCACCAACGAUUUCCCUAAAUGGCUUCAUCUGUAGCCCCUCCCCAUUAAGGAGCUCGCCGCUCAAUGGCCUGAAUAAGACGCCGACGUCUCCUUUUAUAGAUGAUGAGCGCUAGUGCCAUUGCAGAAAUUUGAAUGGAUCAAAGUAUUGUUUACAUCUGUCGCUGUUUCUGAAUAACUUAUUGCGUAAGAUGUUUGUGUUUAUUCACAUAGGAACAGUAGAAUUGUGUUUUUUUUUUACAUUCCUAGAAUGUUGAUAGUUUUGCGUAUUUGUGUCAUGGAAACAGCUACUAAGAGUCCUGAUUUUUCUCUUUUCUUUAGGCCGAGAGGAAAAUAAUUUCUCUUUUUCCUCAUAAAGCUGCCUGUAGUGUUGAAAUACAUAAAAAAUGGGAUUUCAGAGGAUUUGCAGAGCAUACGCUAAAAAAAAAACUAGGUUGAAAACUA